RNAcentral lists this small RNA (575 nucleotides) under Pongo abelii (Sumatran orangutan). RNAcentral's name for it is "processed transcript". The record is from RNAcentral. Lineage: Eukaryota; Metazoa; Chordata; Mammalia; Primates; Hominidae.
AAUGCUAUAGACUUAAGUGAACACUCAGACCUACUAAAAUCAAUAGGGUUGGCUUCUAGCCCUAUUGCAGGACAUCAGUUUGCUAUUAUUUUAUUUAUUUUUUGAAAAUAAAGAAAAGCAGUGGUUCCUAGGGGAGUAAAUACAAUGCUUUUUGAGGAGGAAUGUAGGAAAGAUUGAGAAUGUGAUUGGAAGAAAUAAAGAAGCAGUAAAACGAAAAAGGAGAAGCCUAAUAAACAACUGAGCAAAGAAAGAAAGGAAACCUUUGUUAAUAAAAGAGUAUUUGAAGGGAAUAAAUGCCAAAGACAGGCCAACCUCAUAGAGCACGUAGAAAAUGGACUUUUUCCAGAAGAAGAAGCGAGGGUUUUGGAGAUGACUGGAACGUGUUUGUGCCAGUGUAUGUAGACACUCAUUUUAUAGAACAUUAAAGUACACCUUAAAUCCUUAAACACAGAAUAAACUCAUAAAAUUAAGGCAAAAGGAACAAAGAGGAAAGAGAAUACUGUGCCAGGCCUAGACUGGACAUCAUCCAGCCACUUUCUGAGACUUGUGAAGAGAUCUCUUCUGAUGCUUUGACA